This 468-nucleotide ribosomal RNA is filed under the name uncultured bacterium. RNAcentral describes it as "partial 16S ribosomal RNA". It matches the Rfam family "Bacterial small subunit ribosomal RNA", at positions 28 to 507 of the family's 1533-position model. The record is from RNAcentral.
GACGAACGCUGGCGGCGUGCUUAACACAUGCAAGUCGAACGGAAAGGCCCUGCUUUUGUGGGGUGCUCGUGUGGCGAACGGGUGAGUAACACGUGAGUAACCUGCCCUUGACUUUGGGAUAACUUUAGGAAACUGGGGCUAAUACCGGAUAGGAGCUCUUGCUGCAUGGGGGGGGUUGGAAAGUUUCGGCGGUUGGGGAUGGACUCGCGGCUUAUCAGCUUGUUGGUGGGGUAGUGGCUUACCAAGGCUGUGACGGGUAGCCGGCCUGCGAGGGUGACCGGCGACAUUGGGCCUGAGAGACGGACCAGACGCCUACGGGAGGCAGCGGUGGAGAAUAUUGCACAGUGGGCGGAAGCCUGAUACAGCGACGCUGCGAGCGGGAUGCCGGCCUUCGAGUUGUAAACCGCUGUGGCAGGUGACAAAGAGUGAGUGACGGUAAUGAGUAAGGAAGCACCGGCUAACUACGUG